Molecule: ribosomal RNA, 253 nt
Filed under: uncultured bacterium
Lineage: Bacteria
Description: partial 16S ribosomal RNA
Rfam family: Bacterial small subunit ribosomal RNA
Source: RNAcentral
UACAGAGGGGGCAAGCGUUGUCCGGAUUUACUGGGCGUACAGCGCGCGCAGGCGGUUGUGUAUGUGAGCGGUGACAUCCGCGGGCUCAACCCGCGGCGGCCCGCUUACACAGCGCGACUGGAGGCAGGGAGAGGGAUGUGGAAUACCCGGUGGAGCGGUGAAAUGCGUAGAGAUCGGGUGGAACACCAGCGGCGAAGGCGGCAUCCUGGCCCUGUACUGACGCUGAGGCGCGACAGCGUGGGGAGCAAACAGG